CAAGGAAUUUUGCGCAAUGGGCGAAAGCCUGACGCAGCAACGCCGCGUGAGGGAUGAAGGCCUUCGGGUUGUAAACCUCUUUUAUCAGGGACGAAUAAUGACGGUACCUGAGGAAUAAGCUUCGGCUAACUACGUGCCAGCAGCCGCGGUAAUACGUAGGAAGCAAGCGUUAUCCGGAUUUACUGGGCGUAAAGUGGACGUAGGCGGCCUUUCAAGUCGGAUGUGAAAUCUCUUGGCUUAACCAGGAGGGGUCAUCCGAUACUGUUGGGCUUGAGGGCAGCAGGGGAAGGUGGAAUUCCCGGUGUAGUGGUGAAAUGCGUAGAUAUCGGGAGGAACACCAGUGGCGAAGGCGGCCUUCCAGGCUGUUUCUGACGCUGAGGUCCGAAAGUGUGGGGAGCGAACAG
RNAcentral lists this ribosomal RNA (404 nucleotides) under uncultured bacterium. Its description in RNAcentral is "bacterial SSU rRNA". It matches the Rfam family "Bacterial small subunit ribosomal RNA", at positions 355 to 775 of the family's 1533-position model. The record is from RNAcentral.